RNAcentral lists this ribosomal RNA (465 nucleotides) under Bacillus sp. R-45890. RNAcentral describes it as "bacterial SSU rRNA". It matches the Rfam family "Bacterial small subunit ribosomal RNA", at positions 24 to 483 of the family's 1533-position model. The record is from RNAcentral. Lineage: Bacteria; Bacillati; Bacillota; Bacilli; Caryophanales; Bacillaceae.
UCAGGACGAACGCUGGCGGCGUGCCUAAUACAUGCAAGUCGAGCGAAUCGAYGGGAGCUUGCUCCCUGAGAUUAGCGGCGGACGGGUGAGUAACACGUGGGCAACCUGCCUAUAAGACUGGGAUAACUUCGGGAAACCGGAGCUAAUACCGGAUACGUUCUUUUCUCGCAUGAGAGAAGAUGGAAAGACGGUUUACGCUGUCACUUAUAGAUGGGCCCGCGGCGCAUUAGCUAGUUGGUGAGGUAAUGGCUCACCAAGGCGACGAUGCGUAGCCGACCUGAGAGGGUGAUCGGCCACACUGGGACUGAGACACGGCCCAGACUCCUACGGGAGGCAGCAGUAGGGAAUCUUCCGCAAUGGACGAAAGUCUGACGGAGCAACGCCGCGUGAACGAAGAAGGCCUUCGGGUCGUAAAGUUCUGUUGUUAGGGAAGAACAAGUACCAGAGUAACUGCUGGUACCUGAC